AUUGAACGCUGGCGGCAGGCCUAACACAUGCAAGUCGAGCGAGCGGCGGACGGGUGAGUAAUGUAUGGGGACUGCCCGAUAGAGGGGGAUAACUACUGGAAACGGUGGCUAAUACCGCAUACUAUCGGAUAACCCAUAUGGGAUUAGCUAGUAGGUGGGGUAAAGGCUCACCUAGGCGACGAUCUCUAGCUGCUCUAAGAGGAUGAUCGGCAACAUUGGGACGGUGACACGGCCCAGACACCUACGGGGGCAGCAGUGGGGAAUAUUGCACAAUGGGCGAAAGCCUGCUGCAGCCAGGCCGCGUGGAUGAAGAAGGCCUUAGGGUUGAAAAGUACUUUCAGCGGGGAGGCGUUACCCGCAGAAGAAGCACCGGCUAACUCCGUGCCAGCAGCCGCGGUAAUAC
This 403-nucleotide ribosomal RNA is filed under the name uncultured bacterium. Its description in RNAcentral is "partial 16S ribosomal RNA". It matches the Rfam family "Bacterial small subunit ribosomal RNA", at positions 30 to 526 of the family's 1533-position model. The record is from RNAcentral.